CAAUAAUUAUUACAUGUUCCAGUCAUUAUUAUAAGCUGCUGAAAAAGAGAAGGCCUUAGUCCUUUUGGAGCUAAUUCUUGGCAGGGAAACAGGGGUAUUCCACAUCUUAAAUUAUUUCAUAGACAUUGAUUUCUGUAAGUCUUUAUACAGGUAGCCUCAUAAAAACAUUUUUCUGGGUUAUAAAAACGUUAUAAUCUUUUCUACUUAGACUGUAUUACCAACUCAUACAUUCCACAAACACAUAUUUACAUAGUCAUUUCAACAGGAGAGACAUCAAAGGGGGUUCCAGCCCAAGAGAAAAGACAGGAGGGGCAAAAGUGAGAAUCUGUGCAGGAUGGACUGCUGAAAGAGCAGGAGCUGAGGAGGUGUGCUGAGACAAAGGAAAAUUUGUGUCAAGAAAUCUGAGAACUCAUAAUGAUCUUCCAGCUGGCUGUCAUUCUCGAAGGUGCAUCUCGCAUUAUUCUGAAUUCUGUUGUCUGCUGUAACUCAACUCCUUUUUCUUCCACUGAAGACUAUUGGAAUGCGGUAUAAUAUUGUUAGACUACAUGAAUUAUAAGAAAUGGUUUUGUGAAAAUCCCCCGUUGACAGUGAUCAUGUCAGGAAAUUACAAAAAUAAGGGCUUUCUCCCUUAUGAGGACUUAACAUUCAUGAAGUAUGCUUGCCAGGGGAAUAUUUUCAGUUUAAUAAUUUCUAAAAAUUCUAAUUUAAGGAUAGAUGGUAAGUAGAUAAGAGCUAGGUUCAUUAUAGUUCUUUAUAGUGUGACUUAAUUUCAGGUUUUUUUUUUAUUGUUUCAAACAGUUUGUGUUCACAUGUAUAAGAGGAUACAGUAAAUUCUAUAUUUUUGCAACUCCAUAGUCUGUAGCUUGCAAGCUCCUCUGUCCAUGAAAUUCUCCAGGCAAGAAUACUGGAGUGGAUACCCAUUCUCUUUUCUGGGGGAUCUUCCCAACCCAGGGAUUAAACACAGGACUUCUGCAUUCCAGGCAGAUUCUUUACCAUCUGAGCCACCUGCAAAGCCAACAUUAAAUACUAGAUAAAACAAAACCUGUAACUAUUUUCUCAGAUUCUAGAAAAUAGCACUUAAAUGACAAACCUAAGUAAUCACAAAAGAAAUGGGAAGACAGAAAGAGAACAUAUUUCUUAAAAAUAGUUGUUGGAAUACUACAUUGUGGGGUUACAUGACCAUAGAUAAUCUAUCUUUUUGGUGCAACAUUUGAUAAAAUGUUUCCUAUGAAUUCCUUAAGGUUAAAGUGUUUAAAUUUGAGUUAGAAAUAUUAUUAAGUUUUUACAUACUUACAGCAGCUUAAUCUAAGGAGUGAUGGUAAAUGACAAUUUGAAUUAUAGAGAUGUAUAAAGUAGUAUACAGAAAGUGUAUAAACAUCCCUUUGUUUCCCUAUAAAAGUUGCCCAUUUUAGAUGAUCCUUUUCAUAUAAUUUGAAUGUCUAAACAAAUGUUUUGCC
Molecule: long non-coding RNA, 1457 nt
Organism: Bos grunniens (domestic yak)
Lineage: Eukaryota; Metazoa; Chordata; Mammalia; Artiodactyla; Bovidae
Source: Ensembl